AGUGGCUCAGGUGGUAAAGAAUCUGCCUGCAAUGCAGGAGACCUGGGUUCGAUCCCCAGCU
Bos taurus (domestic cattle) is the source of this 61-nucleotide non-coding RNA. NCBI's taxonomy places the organism in Eukaryota, Metazoa, Chordata, Mammalia, Artiodactyla, Bovidae. The record is from Rfam.